AAAGGCGUGUCAGGGAAGGUUGGCGGUGGUCGGUUCGGGCCUGGUUAAGACGCGGCGUUGGGGACCCGUUACUGUAGACCAGAAGCUGGGAGGGGUUAAUUGGUGGACGCCUUCGCGGGGUGGCUGGUGGCGCAGAGUUAGGAGACGUGGCGCAACGAAUGAGUACAGAGGAGGGGCUCCGUGCAAGGCGGGGGCGGGCGGGGGGCGGGUAGGGCUGCAGCGCUAGGAACCGGGUCACCGGGUCUAGGUCAAAGUCGCCCUGGCAGGUAUAGGGCUCUUCAUGCCUUUUUCUGGAGUGUUAUUGAGGUGGAAUCGCUUUUUCUCCCUGGUGGCGCCAGUUGGAUCCUUCCAGAAUGAGCUCAACGGAGUCUGACGCCGAACACUGUUCUUCCGGGACCUAGGUUUAGUUCACAAAUUGGGUAUUUCUCUCCAGGGUGUUUCUCUCCAGGGCAACUAAUACACUGCGUGCCUACCAGUUGCCAGCCUGGCGAGGGCACGUUUGCGUCGUUUGGCUCAUUCACUCUUGCUCUCUGUUGUUAGUCCCCAGAAUUCAAAAGUUGGAAAGCCCGUGGGCGGCACUAUUCUUUUCCUACUAAUUUGUAGCUUUAAUAACACAUAAGGGGAAGCACAUUAGAUUGUAUUUACUUAUGGAGGGAGCUUUCUCGUUACGUUUUAUUUUAAGCUUUUCUACAACACUGCAAAAGGGGUUUGCAAAAAUUCCAUUUUUAUAUGCUAUGUUGACCAUCUCUGGGAUGCAGCUAUAGAAGGAAACGAACUGCCUUUUCAAAUUUUUUUUUUUUGAGACAAGAGUCUCGCUCUGUCGCCCGGGCUGGAGUGCAGUGGCACUAUCUCCGCUCACUGCAAGGUCCGCCUCCUGGGUUCAAGCCAUUCUCCUGCCUCAGCCUCCCGAGCAGCUGGGACUAUAGGCACCCACCACCACGCCCGGCUAAUUUUUUGUAUUUUUAGUAGAGACGGGGUUUCACCGUGUUAGCCAGGAUGGUCUUGAUCUCCUGACCUCGUGAUCCGCCCACCUCAGCCUCCCAAAGUGCUGGGAUUACAGGCGUGAGCCACCACGCCAGGCCUUCAGGUUUUAAUUAUAAGGGAAAUGCUUGAAGGCUGCCUUAGGGUUUUAAGAUUAUAUUUUGCUAUAAGGAAACUCUGUAUUUUAUCGGUAAAUGAUCAUUAGCGUGUAAGCAACUGUCUUAAGUGAACUAAAUACAGGCUUUCUCAAGGAAUACAGCAGGGGUAAUAUUAAUAACCACCAAAUACCAAAAAUGUAUUUUGACCUAUUUUGCAACAGUGUCGUAAUGCAUAUUGUGAUUCAUGUGUGGAAGGGAGUUUUGUAAAUAAUAAAUAAUAAAAGCAUACUACACUUGCCAAGACUUAUGAUUAAAGACUAAAUUAAAUUAGGAGGCCAAAAACUUAGCAAAUGUUAUUGGGAUCUGCUUUAACUCAAAGUUUCCAAAUUCCAUUUAUAUUUGUGAAAUAAGAUUUCUGCACGUGUUUUGGUUCUAGAGAUGUGAAGGGUCAUGAUUUUCCUAAGAAGUUCCACUGACUAUUCUGACCAUUCUAGAUAAACAUCUGUGAAUUUUUUAUUUUUUAUUUUUUGAGAUGGAGUCUCGCUGUGUUGCCGAGGCUGCAGUCGCCCUGACUUCGUGAUCCGCGCGCAUGGGCCUCCCAAAGUGCUGGGAUUACAGGCGUGAGCCACCGCUCCCGGCCCACCUGUGAAUUUUCAAAUUAAACUAUUACAAUAAUGGCUGGUGCUGUGGCUCACGCCUGUAAUCCCAGCUACUCAGGUGGCUGAGGCAUGAAAAUAACUUGAACCCAGAAGGUGGAGGCUGCAGUGAGCUGAGAUCGUGCUACUGCACUCCAGCCUGGGUGACAGAAGGAGAUUCUGUCUCAAAACAAAACAAAAAAACCUUUAAAUUGAAGUGGUGCCAUAUGUAAAGAAGUUAAAAUCAAGUCUGGCCUAAAGUGGGAAUUCUAAUUUCUUGUAAAUGACAAAGUUAAGCUGUUGUGUAUGAAACCGUUUACCUGCAGCUCUGCACCGGGUUGGAAAUAAGGACUGCUUUUUCUGGGAGUGACCCAUACAGUGGAAUACGACCCAGAAAUAAAAAGGAAUGAACUAUGAAUACAUGUAACAACAUGGAUUAUGCUGAGUGAAAGAAGCCAGAUAAAAAAGAGUACAUGGUGUAUGAUUCCAUUUACAUAAAACUUGAAAAUGCAAACUAAUCUAUAGUGACAAAGCAAAUCAGUGAUUCCUUGGGGAUGGGGGUGGAGGGUGGUGGGAGGAAGGAGAAAUGGGAGAGAGGGAGGGAUUACUAAAGGGUACCAGGAAACCCAUGGGUGUGAUGGAUAUGUGCAUUAUUUUGAUUGUGGUAAUGGUUUUAUGGGCAUAUAUUUCAAAAUUUAUCAAAUUAUAUAAAGUAUUGUUUAAUUCGUGUCUGUCAUACUUGAAUAAAGCAGUUCAAAAAAAGAUUUUAAAAAGUCAUGUAUAGUUAGAGUGAAGAUCUAGCAUCUGAUAGCACAACAGUGUCUAUAGUCAACAAUUUAUUGUACAUUUAAAAAUAAAAAUAUAAUUGGGUUGUAACACAAAGGAUAAAUGCUGAAGCGAUGGAUACUCCAUUUACCUUUAUGUGUCUAUUAUGAAUUGUAUGCCUGUAUCAAAAUGUCUCAUGUACCCUAUAAUAUAUACUUCUACUAUGUACCCCAAAAAAUUUAAAAAUAAAAUGACUCAUAGGACUCAGAUCCUACAAGAGUGAGAUGUUCCAUUUUCAAUGAUGAGAUUUCAAAGUUUUUGCCAAACUAUGAUUUUAAAGAACAAGGUUUCUCAACACUAUAUCCUUGAUGUUCAUUAACAAAAACUUUUUUUUUUUUUUGAAAUGGAGUUUCACUGUUUUUGCCUAGGCUGGAGCGCAAUGGCAUGAUCUUGGCUCACUGCAACCUCUGCCUCCCAGGUUUGAGCGAUUCUCCUGCCUCAGCCUCCCGAGUAACUGGGAUUACAGGUGCCCACCACCACGCCCGGCUAAUUUUUUGUAUUUUUAGUAGAGACGGGAUUUCACCAUGGCCAGGCUGGUCUUGAACUUCUGACCUCAGGUGAUCCGCCUGCCUGGGCCUCCCAGAGUGCUGGGAUUACAGGCGUGAGCCACAGCGCCUGGCCACAAAAACAUUUUUUAAUGAGUUUGCACAAUAUUCACUUAAAGUAUCACUUAUAAUGGCGAGAUAUUGUCUGUCUCUGAUUUAACAUACUUUAUUGUAUAGUUAGAUUAUUGACAGGAUUUUUUUUUGCCAUUAAAUGCAGUUCUGUCAUGAAUAUGUUUGUAACUAAAUCUUUGUGAAUAUCCAUGAUUACCUCCUGAGAUGGAGUAGUGGUGCUGUGCUAUAAUUGCCUGAGCCAUAGCUCACAAUUUGUGAAUUAA
This 3419-nucleotide long non-coding RNA is filed under the name Homo sapiens (human). RNAcentral's name for it is "non-protein coding lnc-TSPYL5-5:1". Lineage: Eukaryota; Metazoa; Chordata; Mammalia; Primates; Hominidae. The record is from RNAcentral.